Molecule: small nuclear RNA, 114 nt
Filed under: Ipomoea nil (Japanese morning glory)
Lineage: Eukaryota; Viridiplantae; Streptophyta; Magnoliopsida; Solanales; Convolvulaceae
Description: U5 spliceosomal RNA
Rfam family: U5 spliceosomal RNA
About the family: U5 RNA is a component of both types of known spliceosome. The precise function of this molecule is unknown, though it is known that the 5' loop is required for splice site selection and p220 binding, and that both the 3' stem-loop and the Sm site are important for Sm protein binding and cap methylation.
Source: Rfam by way of RNAcentral
AGCCAUGCAGUGAACACAAAGCGAACUAUUCUUUUGCCUUUUACUAAAGAAUACCGUGUGUGCAUUGCAAUGAAUGGCAUACUUAAAUUUCUAAAGAAUACCGUGUGUGCAUUG